This 209-nucleotide unclassified non-coding RNA is filed under the name Hevea brasiliensis (rubber tree). Lineage: Eukaryota; Viridiplantae; Streptophyta; Magnoliopsida; Malpighiales; Euphorbiaceae. The record is from RNAcentral.
GGUGAUGCCGCGCCGACCGCAACGACUGUCGCGCCUCCAUCGAACAUCGUCGACCCGGCAUGGGCCGCGACGGACUGGACGCUUAGCCUCGCCGUGCGCACUGCGCGGUUCUGGUGGAUCUCGCUCGGCUAUUUCNNNNNNNNUCUAUGUCUGGUAUGCCGUGCAGGUGCAUCAGACCAAGUAUCUCGUCGAGAUCGGUUUCAGUUCAA